UCCUGCAGCCAUUUCAUCUCAAGAUGUGAUCUUGUCAGAUCUUAUGAGUGAAGUAGGGUUGAGCGUGGUUAGUACUUAGAGAGCAUACUUUAAAAGAAAACCCAGAGCUUGCUGGAA
Molecule: ribosomal RNA, 117 nt
Filed under: Pelodiscus sinensis (Chinese soft-shelled turtle)
Lineage: Eukaryota; Metazoa; Chordata; Testudines; Trionychidae
Source: RNAcentral